Molecule: ribosomal RNA, 504 nt
Filed under: uncultured bacterium
Lineage: Bacteria
Description: bacterial SSU rRNA
Rfam family: Bacterial small subunit ribosomal RNA
Source: RNAcentral
AGAGUUUGAUCCUGGCUCAGAUUAAACGCUGGCGGCAUGCCUUACACAUGCAAGUCGAACGGCAGCACGGGGGCAACCCUGGUGGCGAGUGGCGAACGGGUGAGUAAAGCAUCGGAACGUGCCCUGGAGUGGGGGAUAACGUAGCGAAAGUUACGCUAAUACCGCAUAUUCUGUGAGCAGGAAAGCAGGGGAUCGCAAGACCUUGCGCUUUGGGAGCGGCCGAUGUCGGAUUAGCUAGUUGGUGGGGUAAAGGCCUACCAAGGCGACGAUCCGUAGCGGGUCUGAGAGGAUGAUCCGCCACACUGGGACUGAGACACGGCCCAGACUCCUACGGGAGGCAGCAGUGGGGAAUUUUGGACAAUGGGCGCAAGCCUGAUCCAGCCAUGCCGCGUGAGUGAAGAAGGCCUUCGGGUUGUAAAGCUCUUUCGGUGGGGAAGAAAUUGCACGGGUUAAUAGCCUGUGUAGAUGACGGUACCUGGAGAAGAAGCACCGGCUAACUACGUG